AUACGAAGGGUGCAAGCGUUACUCGGAAUUACUGGGCGUAAAGCGUGCGUAGGUGGUUCGUUAAGUCUGAUGUGAAAGCCCUGGGCUCAACCUGGGAAUUGCACUGGAUACUGGCGAGCUAGAGUGCGGUAGAGGAUGGCGGAAUUCCCGGUGUAGCAGUGAAAUGCGUAGAGAUCGGGAGGAACAUCUGUGGCGAAGGCGGCCAUCUGGACCAGCACUGACACUGAGGCACGAAAGCGUGGGGAGC
RNAcentral lists this ribosomal RNA (247 nucleotides) under uncultured bacterium. RNAcentral's name for it is "partial 16S ribosomal RNA". It matches the Rfam family "Bacterial small subunit ribosomal RNA", at positions 523 to 769 of the family's 1533-position model. The record is from RNAcentral.